AAAUUCCAGGAGCACAGAAGUCAGCGGGCAUCUCCUGGAGACAGGCAGACAUUUGGUCUCAGCAGCCAUGCCCAAAGUCAUGAAGGAUGUUGUGUACCCCUUGGGGGGAGAGGAGCCUAGCAUGGCGAGAGCUGUGGUUCGCAGCGUGGGAGGCUUUACCCUGGGCUUGUCUUUAGCCACGGCCUACGGGCUUCUGGAGCUACUGGUGGAAGGCCACAGCCCCUGGGGUUGCCUGGUGGGCACCCUCACUUUGGCUGCCUUCCUUAGCCUGGGCAUGGGAUUCUCUCGCCAGGUCCGAGCCACUGUCCUCCUGCUGCUGCCUCAGGCCUUCUCCAGGCAGGGCCGGACACUACUGUUGGUGGCUGCUUUUGGGUUGGUGCUUCAAGGGCCUUGUGCCAACACUCUACGCAACUUCACCCGGGCCAGCGAGGCUGUGGCCUGUGGGGCAGAGCUGGCCCUGAAUCAGACCGCCGAAGUGCUACAGAGGGCCAAGCAACCUCUUGUCAGUGCCCUGAACAAGAUUAAAGCUAUUGCCCAGAAGACCAAAGAGGUGGCUGACCGGGUCCGCAAGUUCUUUCGGUCAAUCAUGGAUGGUGUGAAACACAUAGCCAGGGCUCUCCGGAAUGUAUGGCAGUGGCUCCUGCACAUCGGCGAUGUGUGCAACUCGGAACUGGGCAACCCUUACCUGAAGUGUGCACGGGUUUUUGAUGAUGCCAAGGACAGCUGCAUGAUGGUCAUACCACAAGCCUACCACCUGUGUUACGUGCUCAUGCCCUUCAAACUGGCGCUCUGUGGACUUGCCAGCCGUGAGAAAACCAGGGUCUGCCAGCGGGGAGGAGCCGAUGUGGGGUGGGGUGGGGUGGGAAUGUGGGGGUCAGUUGGGAGGGCAGGCUCAGGAGGACGAUUAGAGGGCAACAGGGAGGAACCAAUAAGCUUGGUAGGACCAGUAUUGGGGGUGGGGGUGGGCAGUAGGGAGGGACUGGUGUUGGGAGAGAAGGGUGACAGGGAGGUGCUACAAGGUUUUGAGCAAAUGUGGAGGCCAAUAGGAAAAUCGAAAAGAGGCCCUGUGAGAAGAGGUCUCCAGAGGUCGGGGGCAGGCCUGGCUGUGCCCCUCCUUCCGACACUCAGCCGACUCCGCCCCUCAGUGGUCCAGGUGUUCUGCGUCAUCCCUAAGUACAUUCAACCCUUCUUGCGCCAGACCAUCGGCACCCCCGUGAUUCAGUUGCUCAACCGGGUGCGUCAGGAGUUUGAGUUCAACAUGACAGCCACCCACCACUUCUCUGUGGAUCUCAAUGCCUCUCGGAGCCUGUCCCAGGUAGCCAUGGACCUCCACGAGGCUGUCAGCAUGAAGCUGCACCGUGUCCGAGAGGCCCUGGCUCUGAUGGGCUUCACCACGCCUCUGCUGCUUGUGCUUCUCUACCUCCAAGCCCUAUUUUACCGGUAUUGUUACCUGAACUGGGACCAUUAUGACAAUAUCUACAUCACCAGCCGAUUCCUGCGCAUGGAGGCUGUACGCUCCACGGCAGGGCUGCCCACAGUGCUACCGCUCAGUGCUCACGAGGCCAGGCGCUACAUCCCACCGGGCUCCAUCUUCUUGUCCCAGUGGGAGAAGUUUUUUUACAUUCUGGAGACCUUCAACCUUAUCCGACACCUCCUCCUUGUGCUGUUCCUAGUCUUCCUAGACUAUGCUGUCUUCUGGGUGCUUGACCUGGCCCGGCACCAGCUGCAGGGGGAGAUUGUGGCCCGCAGUCCUGUGUUGGUGUCUAUAACCGUGGAAGGUACUGGCUACGCUGGGAAUAUUUAUCGUGACCUGGUGUCAGCAUUUGAUGUCCUGCAGCAAGGCAACAUCAGUAUUUUGUCCCGGCGUUGUCUCCUUCGUCCCUCGGAGCCUGACAGCACUGGCUACAUAGUCAUUGGCGUCAUGUAUGGCCUAUGCUUCUUCAUCACCCUGUUUGGCAGCUAUGUCAGCCGGCUGCGGCGAGUCAUCUGUGCCUCCUACUACCCAUCCCGGGAGCAGGAAUGAAUAAAAGUGUUACGGAAACCCAGAGGAGAGAGUGGUAACUCCACCUGGGCAAGUCCAGAAGACUUCCCAGAGGAAGGGGCAUUUGAGCCAAACCUAGAGGGAUUCAUAGGAGUUGGAUAGAAGGAAAAGGAAAGGAUCUCCUACCUGUACAACGUACUUCUGAGCCGCCGAACCAAUCUGUUGGCUGCCCUGCACCGAUCAGUGAGGCGGCGGGCGGCUGACCAGGGCCACAGAAGUGCCUUCCUAGUGCUGGCCAGUCGGUGCCCCUGCCUAGGUCCAUUUGUCAGCCACUUUUGGCUGCAUCAGGCCUACUGCCUGGGCUGUGGGCAGCCCCAGGAUGAGGGAGACAUGGAGAACACUGUGUCCUGCAGUACCCCCGGCUGCCAAGGUCUCUACUGCCUCACUUGCUUCCGCCUCCUGGACAAUACCUGCUCCGUGUGUGCAUCUCCCCUCUCCUACCAGGGGGACCUGGACCUGGAGCUGGACUCCAGCGAUGAGGAGGGCCCUCAGCUAUGGCUGGCUGCAGCUCAAAGGAAGGACCCUGAGCAGGCAUGGUUACUGCAGCAACAGCUCCAAGAAGUGCUCGGCAGGAGCCUCUCAAUGGAGUCCACUUCCGAGUCCAGUGACCUGGAUGAGGAGAAGGGGCCUCAGCAGAGGAAGCACGGGCAGCAGUCCUUACCUGAAGCCCAUCAGCCUGUCAGCAUUCUCACCAGCCCUGAGCCCCACAGACCACCUGAGACAUCCUCCGCCACUAAAGGAGCCCCCACUCCAGCUUCAGAACCCUCAGUCCCUCUCUCACCUCCCUCUCUUCCUGAUCCUUCCCACCCACCCCCCAAAUAAACCAAAAGUGGACACAA
Molecule: RNA transcript, 2880 nt
Organism: Pan troglodytes (chimpanzee)
Lineage: Eukaryota; Metazoa; Chordata; Mammalia; Primates; Hominidae
Gene: DCST2
Gene name: DC-STAMP domain containing 2
Exons: 15
Source: RefSeq, a predicted model, not a curated record